This is a long non-coding RNA of Phascolarctos cinereus (koala), 1608 nucleotides long. Lineage: Eukaryota; Metazoa; Chordata; Mammalia; Diprotodontia; Phascolarctidae. The record is from Ensembl.
UGAUUAUAAGCUGGGUUAGCAAGAACAGCCCUCCUUUUUACUUUCCUUCAGGGAAGGACAGGGUUAAAAAACCUUAGUCUGACUUUGCCUCUUGGAAAGCCUUGGGUUGCAGCCCUGCCUUCCAAGCAUUCUUUAAACUAGAAAUGUGGGAGGGCCUCCAGGAGGGAGAGAGAAAGAGGGAGAGGGCUCUUAGAGGAGGGAGAGCUAGAGAGCAAGCCAGAGAGGAGCGAGAUGGCUAUCAGCUGAAUUCAUUACUGUAAACAUCUCCCAGGGGUGUCAGGCUGGGGGGCGGGGAAGGCGGGGGCGAGGCACGACUUACAUUAGCGGGGAAUAGUCAAACCUGAGGCAUCGUUACUGCUAAGAUCAACCUCGCAAUCCCCGUCUGAAGAAGGCUCAAGACUUGGAGCUAGACACACGCGCGCGCGUGCACACACUCACACACACGCUCCCGCUCCCACAUACGUGUGUGGGGUAUCUGGAGACUUGUCCGAGUCCUGGAUCUCGGUGUUUCCUCCAGUGAUCCUUUCAUCGCCUCUAAAGGAGACCCCUUCGAGAGCGCAUCCUGCGGCUGCAUUUUUCCCCUUCGGUUUUCCCCAGUUUUCCUUUUCCUUUUUUUGGGGGGCGGGGGUCAGAGAAGGGGGCGUCAUUUUUUAUUUGCGAAGAACACCAGUAGGGGAGCGGGGGCGCUGGGCAGAAGGAAGGGGUGGUGGUGGUGACAAGAAGGCAGAAGAGAAGAGAAAGUGGGAUGCCAGAGCCCUGGGCUGCGCGUUGGAGGAGGAGGUGGAGGAGGAAGGGGGAGGACGAUGCCGCUGCUUCAUAGGGGAGGAAGGCGAGAGCAAGGGGAAAGGAGCGCUCCGGUGAGCUGGCAGAGGCGAGCCGCGGGGUGCGGAGAAGCGUGCCCGUCACAGCGGCUCCGGCUCGGGCUACAGCUCCGGCAGCCCCCGAUCCAGCCGCCGGAUACCCACCCAGGGCACCCGCAGCCUCCACCGCGAUCCAGAGGCAGGAGCAAAAGUUUGGAUCUCGGGGAGGGAAAAGCGCAAAGAGGGAUUAUGACCAGGGCUGGAAAAGGACUGCAAGAAUCUUCGCAGGUCAGCAUCUCCUAUUAGUGAGAAAAGAUUCCCUUUGUAUAACUCCUGUGAGCACCAGCAGAAUGUACACAUAAGGGCAUUCCAGGUGAGAAAAUAGCAUAACUGAAGGCAAAGAGGUAGAAUUGAGCAUAAUCUAUUAUGAGUAUAGAUCCAAACAGUUUUUUUAAGAGUACAGACACAGGCCUCUGGAGAGAAUAACAGGGUUUAAUGAAUUGAAUGGUUGUGAUUACUAAUGACAGCUCCUCAGCCUUUCACUCCAGACACUUCUGAGUUGAGGGAGCAGAUGAUGUGUAUGUAGGUAGUGCCAUGCCUGGGGUGAGGUGAUUUGGGUUUAUUUCUGCAGGCCCUUGGCUUUUAGAAAGCCAACGGAGUUGGUAGGCAACAACUUGAAGAAGCAAUGGGCAGGAGGAAAAGGAGGUGGUAUUAUUGGUGCCAAAAAUACAGCUAAAGUUUGUAUAUUGGUCUUCAUGCUUUUCUUCAUACGUGACAUUAUAAAUCCAAUCUGUUGCCUAUCACCCAC